CGGGUCAGGCCCCGCCCGCGACCUCAGCGCUGCCAGAGGUCAAGGUCAAGGCCAAACCACAGGACGAGCCGCUCAACAUCAAGGAGCCGGUCUGGACCCCCAAAUCGAGUCCCACAACGGAACGGAAGCAAUACAGAGCCAUCAACUACGACAGCAGUAGCCUGGAAAGAAAGAAAACGGCGACACCGCCACCGCCGCCGCCGCGCCUCGUCCGAGUCGUUCGCGUGGCG
Pollicipes pollicipes is the source of this 230-nucleotide long non-coding RNA. RefSeq lists it as uncharacterized. The transcript is spliced from 3 exons. Lineage: Eukaryota; Metazoa; Arthropoda; Thecostraca; Pollicipedomorpha; Pollicipedidae. The record is from RefSeq and is a predicted model, not a curated record.